RNAcentral lists this ribosomal RNA (254 nucleotides) under uncultured bacterium. RNAcentral describes it as "partial 16S ribosomal RNA". It matches the Rfam family "Bacterial small subunit ribosomal RNA", at positions 524 to 777 of the family's 1533-position model. The record is from RNAcentral.
CACGUAGGGCGCAAGCGUUGUCCGGAAUUAUUGGGCGUAAAGAGCUCGUAGGCGGUCUGUUGCGUCCGCUGUGAAAGCCCGGGGCUUAACCCCGGGUCGGCAGUGGAUACGGGCAGGCUAGAGGUAGGUAGGGGAGAAUGGAAUUCCCGGUGUAGCGGUGAAAUGCGCAGAUAUCGGGAGGAACACCGGUGGCGAAGGCGGUUCUCUGGGCCUUACCUGACGCUGAGGAGCGAAAGCGUGGGGAGCGAACAGGG